Molecule: long non-coding RNA, 2527 nt
Organism: Loxodonta africana (African savanna elephant)
Lineage: Eukaryota; Metazoa; Chordata; Mammalia; Proboscidea; Elephantidae
Exons: 3
Source: RefSeq, a predicted model, not a curated record
UGGUGUUGGGUUUAGGGGGUAGUGAAGGAUUUUAGGUUUUUAUCUGUAUACUAUUGCAGUGUUUGCUUGUGUAGUGAAUAAAAAUGUAUUAAAUAUUAUAUGAAAAAAAUCUUAAACAGGAUGUCAGGGAGGUGGAAAGGGAAUUGGGCAAAGCAGGGGACCCAGCAGCCUGCACACCCUGAGGCCAGCACUGGGGAGUGUGUAGGAGACAACCCCAGGGCAGGACACAGGGUGGGAACUGGGUUGUGCCCUGGAAGACUGUGAGGACAGUACAAAUUUGAAUUAAAGCACAGAGUAGCCAACAAGAACGCAUCACACAGAACCUAAGUCUCUGGACAGGGGAUUUAGAGAAACUUGUCACCAGGAAAUGUGGUUAGGACAAGAGUCUUGAUGACUGGCAUGGGAGCUGGUAAAGGGCGUGGUUAAUGAUCUGCAGGCUGGCAGGCGUCAGAGGCACUGGGUCUGCAGCCAAGUCUGCAGAAAGGGGCCCCAGAGUGGAGCAUGGGCUUGUCCAGUUGCCUUCAGACGCAUCCUGUGCGUUCCAGGUACCUUGAGCAGGAGGGUUGGCGAUCUGUCGCAAAUAGCCUUGUGGCUGGCAAAACAGUAUUGCGUGACCUUCCAACCCUCACCUGGACUGUUUAAUCAGAGCCUUGGGCCUAGAACAUUUUCUGACAAUGGAAAGUGGCUACCGAGUCUUCUUCAGUCCCAUUUUUUUUUUUUUAAUUCUUAUUAGGGAAACUCCUUCCCUGUUCUGGGUGCAGAGUAAACCUUCUUUGUACUGCUUUACAAAGACAUGUGUAUUAUAUGGCACCUGGCCAACCCUACUUCUAUAUCUGUUCCCAGCAGGGAGGGAAUGGGGUCUUUCACCUGCAGCAUGGAAGAAAGGUGUGUGCAGACCAUCAGCCCUGUGCCACCUAUGGAGUGAGACCUGCUGGCCACAGGAGACCGCCACCCACAUACGGAGCUUACCUUGUGCUGUCUCUCUUUUCCCCCCGCCCCUGUCUAAGAACCGAGAUGAAGCAGUAAGAGCGGCAGCCAGCCUGGUGGGGUCUCGAGGCUGGGUGAGGGAAGAUGACAGAAGAUGGGGCAUGAGCUCUGUGACCCCUGACUAGAGGGGAGCGUUCACCUCAGCAGAUGACAGCCUGGACUUGGAACAGAAUGAUGGCCCUUCUCCUGUGUGUGCGGGACUUUGUCUUAAUGGCCUCGCUGACAAGAAGAUUGAAGAGUACUUGUUACAGUGAAAUUAAAGGGUAAGUUUUAUUUACUAACUUAUUGUUCAGGGUUCCCCAUACAAAUCAGUUUUAAAUCCUGUCAAUGGUCAAAUUGGAAAAUGUUGAAGGAAAAACUCUAUAAGAAAAAUAACUCAAGAUACUUGUAUUUUUCUCUCCUGUAGAAUAUUGUAAGAUAUAAGUAUGAAACUGUGCUGAACCGUAUGUCUGUGCCAAAUUUGUGUAGAGCUUGCAAGUUACAAAUGACUUUCAAUUACAUGUUUUCUGUUGUCACCAACCGCUCCAGAUCUUUUCAGUUCCUGGAAUCCUCCCCUCCUCAAUGACAACAAGGGCCGUCCACCAUGCCCCCUCCACUAGGGUCUUCACCUGCAAUAUGUGCUGUACGUUCUUUGCCCUGGACCCUGGAGGACACAUACUAAAUGCUGGGUUUUAAGAGGAAGUGUGGAGAAGUAUAAAUAGCUGACCCUGAGCAUUCUUCUGGGAGGGUGGGAAGUUCUGUAGACCCAGAGCAGAGGGCUCUAGUCAGGAUAUCCAAGAAAAAGCCUUUAAGAGAAGGCUACUGGAAGUCUACCUGGGAACACUGACCUCACGGACAUGAUAGGAGAGAGGGUGUAAUAUGCCCAUUUUACAGACAGAGAAACUGAGUCCCUCUGCCCUUGCAUCCAUUCUGAGAGGAGAGGAGUAGGCAUCUAGUGCUUCCUGUCCUUACCCCUACUGGGUCAAUUGUGGUCUCAGCUUCUCCUAGAAGGGUCAAUAGAAUGGGAUUCCACAGCUAAGAGGGAGGGACCCAGAGCCACGUUUUCCUCUAAUAGGGCCACAGGUUCUGCCAUUCCCUAUGACUCCUAGUUCCGUAUUACCUGGGGGCUUCUCAUAGCCCAGCUCCCACCAUGUCAUCUGCCGCAAGCUCCUCCUGGGAGAAUUAUACCCAUGAUAGGGUUAUCUGUGAGUUUGUGAGUACACGGGUAACCCCUCAAAGGACUGGGGGACAGAGACUGACUUUGGGACCCUCUCUCUGCAGCUCUGAUUCCUGGGGAUCCAAGUUAACUUCCAAGACAACUGAGAUCCCAGCCCCCAGAUGCUGGCGGGGAGGCCACAGCACAGAGAAAUGGUGACUCCACCCUCCAAGUUCUCAAUGUCUGCUGGAGGCCCACUGUCACACAGCAAAGACUCCACAGACUCUCUCAAGAUGGGAAGUGCAGAUUUGAACUCAAACUACUCAUAGUCAUUCCUACCACUUGCAACAUUUAUCCAAAAUGCACUAUCCGACUUGAACGUCCAGGCGUUCACCAGGGAAGACA